AUUCGAACCUUGGACAUAACCAGAGUGCACGAAUUUGGACCUUGAUCGUGGUAGAGAUGCUUGGAGGUCGGCCGUAGCCGAUCUGUGGAAGGUCGAUCACAAAAAGCAAUUGUCCAAAUUGAGAAAGUCUAAAUAAGGAAGGAGUUUAUUAAAAUCAAAUCAUAUCCUAAAUAGAAACUAGCAACUAUUUCCACAUUGCAAAUGUGGAAACAAUUGCCACUAGCUUGAUCCACAUGCAAUAACUGGAUAGAUUAGGAGAAGUCCUAUGUAGAUCAUGAAAUUGAGUUUUAAAGAUCAUAGCUAUGGUAGUAUGAAUGACGGAAAGAAGUUUCCAUAAGAUUUCACAAAAGAACUCAAGUCGAUUGAAUCUUACAUAUGACAGAUGAGAGGUUUGAUGAGUUAUAAUUCAUAGCCUCCGUCUUGUCGAAACUCACGAUACAAGAAUCGAAUUAUACGGUAAUUGUACUUAGAGGUUUAUCUAUUCAAUUUUGUUAGAAUGCCACUACAUACUGCUAGAUGUCACUGGUGGAUUGUGAGACCAAUGAGAAUUAUUACGAUGAUCAAUUAUUCUCAAUUAGCUGAAUUGAAAGUGUUCCAAACUAUUAAAAGAAGUUUCAAUGAUAUUAUUGAUAAAGAUUACAAUAUAUCUUACUAUCAGACGGAAUUGAAUCUAUGGGGUCACACACAAAAGAAAAUUGAUUUAGGAUUGUGUAAUUGGGCUUAUGUAGUCCUAAUUGGGUUAGAAUUUAUAAAAUCCUAUUGGGUUUAGAAAUCCCAUGCUAGCACAUGGUUAAAUCCAAAUUCUUUUGAGAUUUGAAAUUUCUAUUGGAUAGGGAUUGGACCAAGUCAAAUGCAUGCAAAAGGGGCACCAAGAUUUGAGCUCCCCAUCUGAUAUUUGACAUGGAUUAAGAACAAAGGGGUGCACGCUCCAUCUGGAUAAGGAUGAAGGGAUGCCAAAAGUUGGCGCACCCUUAUCUUGUGCAUGAAGAAGAGAGAAAGGAGAUGGGGCACAUGCCCCAUCUGGUUUUUGUGUGAGAAAAAUGGAGGAGGUGGCGUCCAUCAGAUGAGCAUACUAAAAUGGAUAGGAACCAAGAGUCCUUUUGGGUUAAGGCAUUGAAUAAGUUAAAGCCUUAAACCAUUUGGAGUUCUUUGGUUCUAUUUAAACCCUUGAGAGAUGAGAUCAAAACCUAGAAAACCCUAGAGAACUAGAGAAAAGCCCACGCCUCACUCUCUUGCCUCACACCCUCCCUCUCUUUCUCCCUCAUGCCUCAUGCCCAAAGGUGUUGGGCAUCCCCUCAUCUCAUGCCUAAGUGUUGGGUGUCCUCCAUCUUCCACAUGCUCAAGGAGUUGGGCAUUCCAUCUCCACACCAAGAGAAAGAGUGCAUGUUGAUUUUUCUUAGAGAAGAAAGAUCAAUUUCAAAAGGAGCAUCCUAGAUCAUUCCUGUGGAUACCUACACAGGUUGGAUGCAUAUGCGGCUCUUCAGAAAAUCUAAGAAGAAGAUAUCCACGAUCAUCGAACUACGGUAAAGAUCUACCUGCACUAAGGUAAAGAUAUGAUCUUCAUGGUUAUUUUUAUAUCUUGAUCUUAAGGAUAUGAUAGAUCUAGCUUUAUGAGAUGUGAUCUCAAAGAUGCAUGCUAGAUUAGAUCUCUUCUGUUGCUAAAAUUUUUUGUUGAUCUUGCAUGUGUACCUUAGUUUUUUCCUUCAUAUAGGUC
RNAcentral lists this long non-coding RNA (1714 nucleotides) under Elaeis guineensis (African oil palm). RNAcentral describes it as "long non-coding RNA (EGUI_LNC031396)". The record is from RNAcentral. Lineage: Eukaryota; Viridiplantae; Streptophyta; Magnoliopsida; Arecales; Arecaceae.